Molecule: ribosomal RNA, 467 nt
Filed under: uncultured bacterium
Lineage: Bacteria
Description: partial 16S ribosomal RNA
Rfam family: Bacterial small subunit ribosomal RNA
Source: RNAcentral
GAAGAAAGCGGGGGGCGUGCUUAACACAUGCAAGUCGAACGGAAAGGCCUCUUUCGGGGGGUACUCGAGUGGCGAACGGGUGAGUAACACGUGAGUAACCUGCCCUUGACUUUGGGAUAACUUCAGGAAACUGGGGCUAAUACCGGAUAGGAGCUCCUGCUGCAUGGUGGGGGUUGGAAAGUUUCGGCGGUUGGGGAUGGACUCGCGGCUUAUCAGCUUGUUGGUGGGGUAGUGGCUUACCAAGGCUUUGACGGGUAGCCGGCCUGAGAGGGUGACCGGCCACAUUGGGACUGAGAUACGGCCCAGACUCCUACGGGAGGCAGCAGUGGGGAAUAUUGCACAAUGGGUGGAAGCCUGAUGCAGCAACGCCGUGUGCGGGAUGACGGCCUUCGGGUUGUAAACCGCUUUCGCUCAUGACGAAGCUUUGUGUGACGGUAGUGGGUAAAGAAGCACCGGCUAACUACGUG